KGCUCCUUGCUUUUUCUUAUUGGGAGUCGGACCUGCUCGGUGAAUUAUUUUAACAGCCGCGGUACUCUGACCGUGCAAAGGUAGCAUAAUCAUUUGCCUUAUAAUUGAAGGCUAGUAUGAAUGGUUUGACGAGAAUUAAGCUGUCUCUUUUCAACUAAAUAUAACUUUAUCAAUAGGUGAAGAAGCCUAUAUUGAAUUGAAAGACAAGAAGACCCUAUCGAGCUUUAAAUAACUUAAUAGGUUAAUAAGAUAUUAAUAAAAAAAUUAAGCUAUAAAAAAUUUUGGUUGGGGCGACCGAGGAACAGACAAAGCUUCCUCUAUUUAACGAGAUACAGGCAGGUAUUGAUCCAGUGGAACUGAUUAAAGGAAUUAGUUACCGUAGGGAUAACAGCAUAAUCCUCUUUGAGAGCCCAUAUCGAAAAGGGGGUUUGUGACCUCGAUGUUGGACCAGAAUAUCCAGAAGAUGCAGCCGUCUUCAAUGGUUGGUCUGUUCGACCAUUAAAAUUCUACGUGAUCUGAGUUCAGACCGGCGUGAGCCAGGUCAGUUUCUAUCUUCAAUUAUUGAAAUACCUUUAGUACGAAAGGACCAAGGUAUUAUAAUACUUUACUAGCAAGUGAUCAAAUAUAAAGAUUCAUUAAACCUUAGGCAAAAAUCAAAUUAGCAAAGAUUAAUGCAAUUGACUUAGGAUCAAUAGACAUAGGCGAAAUUCCUUUAUUUGAUAGAAAGUCAAAGAUAAAGAUGGCAGAACAA
Molecule: ribosomal RNA, 751 nt
Filed under: Mancinella intermedia
Lineage: Eukaryota; Metazoa; Mollusca; Gastropoda; Neogastropoda; Muricidae
Description: partial 16S ribosomal RNA
Rfam family: Bacterial large subunit ribosomal RNA (bases 1-579)
Source: RNAcentral